Molecule: transfer RNA, 73 nt
Filed under: Saccoglossus kowalevskii
Lineage: Eukaryota; Metazoa; Hemichordata; Enteropneusta; Harrimaniidae
Description: tRNA-Tyr
Rfam family: tRNA
About the family: Transfer RNA (tRNA) molecules are approximately 80 nucleotides in length. Their secondary structure includes four short double-helical elements and three loops (D, anti-codon, and T loops). Further hydrogen bonds mediate the characteristic L-shaped molecular structure. tRNAs have two regions of fundamental functional importance: the anti-codon, which is responsible for specific mRNA codon recognition, and the 3' end, to which the tRNAs corresponding amino acid is attached (by aminoacyl-tRNA synthetases). tRNAs cope with the degeneracy of the genetic code in two manners: having more than one tRNA (with a specific anti-codon) for a particular amino acid; and 'wobble' base-pairing, i.e. permitting non-standard base-pairing at the 3rd anti-codon position.
Source: RNAcentral
CCUUCGAUAGCUCAGUUGGUAGAGCGGAGGACUGUAGAUCCUUAAUUCGCUGGUUCGAAUCCGGCUCGAAGGA